GACGAACGCUGGCGGCGUGCCUAAUACAUGCAUAGACGACAAGUGGCGGACGGGUGAGUAAUGUCUGGGAAACUGCCCGAUGGAGGGGGAUAACUACUGGAAACGGUAGCUAAUACCGCAUACCAUCGGAUGUGCCCAGAUGGGAUUAGCUAGUGGGGGGGGUAACGGCUCACCUAGGCGACGAUCCCUAGCGGGUCUGAGAGGAUGACCAGCCACACUGGAACUGAGACACGGUCCAGACGCCUACGGGAGGCAGCAGUGGGGAAUAUUGCACAAUGGGCGCAAGCCUGAUGCAGCCAUGCCGCGUGUAUGAAGAAGGCCUUCGGGUUGUAAAGUACUUUCAGCGAGGAGGCGUUACUCGCAGAAGAAGCACCGGCUAACUCCGUGCCAGCAGCCGCGGUAAUUC
Molecule: ribosomal RNA, 406 nt
Filed under: uncultured bacterium
Lineage: Bacteria
Description: partial 16S ribosomal RNA
Rfam family: Bacterial small subunit ribosomal RNA
Source: RNAcentral